CCUACGGGUGGCAGCAGUGAGGAAUAUUGGUCAAUGGGCGCGAGCCUGAACCAGCCAAGUAGCGUGAAGGAUGACGGCCCUACGGGUUGUAAACUUCUUUUAUAAAGGAAUAAAGUCAGGCACGUGUGCCUGUUUGUAUGUACUUUAUGAAUAAGGAUCGACUAACUCCGUGCCAGCAGCCGCGGUAAUACGGAGGGUCCGAGCGUUAUCCGGGUUUAUUGGGUUUAAAGGGAGCGUAGAUGGGUUGUUAAGUCAGUUGUGAAAGUUUGCGGCUCAAACGUCAGAGUGCAAUUGAUACUGGCAGUCUUGAGGACAGUUGAGGUAGGCGGAAUUCGUAGUGGAGCGGUGAAAUGCUUAGAUAUCACGAAGAACUACGAUUGCGAAGGCAGCUUACUAAACUGCCACUGACAUUGAUGCUCGAAAGUGUGGGUAUCAAACAGGAUUAGAUACCCUUGUAGUC
RNAcentral lists this ribosomal RNA (460 nucleotides) under uncultured bacterium. Its description in RNAcentral is "partial 16S ribosomal RNA". It matches the Rfam family "Bacterial small subunit ribosomal RNA", at positions 338 to 795 of the family's 1533-position model. The record is from RNAcentral.